RNAcentral lists this long non-coding RNA (4765 nucleotides) under Gossypium barbadense (sea-island cotton). RNAcentral describes it as "long non-coding RNA (GBAR_LNC011192)". Lineage: Eukaryota; Viridiplantae; Streptophyta; Magnoliopsida; Malvales; Malvaceae. The record is from RNAcentral.
UGCAGCAACCUUGGUUUUGUGUUGCUGUUAGAUUUGAACUAAUAUUUUGUUCAUUUUGAAGUCUAGUUUGCUAUAAGCUUUUUUAUUGAUGUAAUUUGAUGUUGAUGGAGCUGUUAACCAGCUUUGUGUUAAUGUACAAGUUAAGUUUUUUGUUAUUUGGAAAGCUUAGUGGAAGUAGGUGUAUGUUUAGGUAGAAAUUUGACUUGUAAGUUUUUUUUUAUUCUGAUAUAUGUAAUGGCAAUCUGCCUAUGAUUGAUGUAUGAAAAAAAAUACAAUUCAUUUUUUUCAUCAAUACUCUCAACUAUUCUUCAUGCUCUUUCUUUCUUUGCUUUAGUUCUAUUCUUGUUUUCCUUCCCAUUUCUGCUCUUAAAGCUUGAACUUCAAGCAUUUUUCCUUCAUAUUUUACCCGGGUAUAUUACGUUGCUGCUGGUGCUUUGUUUGCAACUCUUACUUUACCCGGUUAAAGUACUCUCAAACUCCAACAAUUGGUAUCAAGAGCUUUCAUCUUAGAGGACCUAUUGUUGAAAAUUAAAUGGCUUCAUCAGGCUUUUCUCCUGCUGCACCACCAGUCUUUAAUGGUGAAGGGUUCCACAUAUGGUAGGUUAAAAUGAGGACUUACCUGCAGGCCUUUGAUCUGUGGGAAGUUGUUAACACAGACAUCGAGCUAACUCCACUGAGGGCCAACCCCACUGUGGCUCAGAUUCGUCAGCAUGCAGAUGAGAGGACUAAAAGGCACAAGGUCAUGUCCUGUAUUCAGAACUGUGUUUCUGAUGUGAUCUUCACCAGGACCAUGACCUGUGAGACCCCGAAGCAGGCUUGGGACAAGCUUAAGGAGGAGUUCCAAGGCACUGAAAGAACUAGGCGGCAGCAGCUUCUAAAUCUGAGAAGGGAUUUCGAGAAUCUGAAAAUGAAAGAAAAGGAAACUGUCAAACAAUAUUCUGACAGGAUAAUGGCUGUUGUAAAUAGUAUAAGGCUCCUUGGUGAGCAGUUUGAUGAAGUAAGGAUAGUUGAGAAGGUUCUCUCUACUUUACCAGAGAGAUAUGAGGCAAAGAUAUCCUCCUUAGAGGACUCGAGAGACUUGACAAGGAUCUCCCUGACUGAGCUUAUCAAUGCUCUUUAUGCUCAGGAACAGAGAAGAGCCAGCAGGUUCGAUGAGCACCAGAAGGGUGCAUUUCAGGCCAAGAGCAAGCCUAGCUCGAGUAAUGCUGCCUACAAAGGCAAGAAAAACUGGAGGGAUAAAUCCAAAGCUGAUGCCUCAAAAAAAUGGGACAGACCAUACAGACACUGUAAAAGGCCUGGUCAUCCAGAGGCCAGAUGCUGGUUCAAACCAGAUGCCAUAUGUCAACAUUGCAAGAAAAGAGGCCAUGUUGAAAGGGUUUGCAAAGAAAAAGACAAACCUGCCCAGAAUCAACCACAACAUAAGGCUGCUGAGGCUCGAGUAGCUGAACAAGGCAGUGACAAUGAAGAACAAGUGUUUGCAGUCUCAUGUUUAGCUGCAAAAUGCAAGGUUAAAAAGGGAUGGCUCCUUGACAGUGGCUGCACCAACCACAUGUCACCAGAUGCAACUAUCUUCAAAACUCUAGAUAGAAGCUGUAAGACUAGAGUAAAAAUUGGAGAUGGACACUGUAUUCAGGCAGAAGGCAUAGGUGAUGUGAUAAUAUGCACUCCAUCAGGUAACAAACUCAUCCCAAAUGUACUGUUUGUACCUGAAAUUGAUAGAAAUUUGUUGAGCAUAGCUCAGUUGCUGGAAAAAGGAUAUACUGUGGUCUUGAAAGGAAAGGAGUGCCAAAUCAGUGACCAAAAAGGGUCCAUACUCAUGACAGUGGCCAUGUCCGACAAGAGUUUUGUUGUGGACUGGAAUAAGGACCUUGAUAGUGCCUAUGCUGCUUUCAUAGAAGAAUCCAAGCUUUGGCAUCAAAGGCUUGGUCAUGCCAACUAUAAAUCAAUGGCUCGAAUGGUCAGCAAGGAUAUGGCUGAAAACUUCAUCAAAUCUGUUCAAAUGAAGAUGUGUGUGAAGUUUUUCAGUUAGGAAAACAAGCCAGGCUUCCAUUUCCUACAAACACAGCCUGGAGAGCCUCAGAGAAACUUCAAUUAGUGCACACAGAUGUGUGUGGCCCUAUGAAGUCCGAGUCACUCAAUGGCAGCAGGUACUUCAUUCUUUUCAUUGAUGAUAGUACCAGAUACUACUGGAUUUACUUCUUAAAGAAUAAGACUGAAGUUGUUCAAGCCUUCCUGAAGUUUAAAACAGCAGCUGAGACAGAGACUGGCUGUAAACUAAAGUCCAUAAGAUCAGACAAUGGGACAGAAUAUAUUUCAGCUCAAUUCCAAGACAUUUGUGCAAGAGCUGGCAUUAAACAUCAACUAACAAAUGUGUACACACCUCAGCAGAAUGGGGUAAGUGAAAGAAAAAAUAGAAGCCUACUUGAUAUGGCCAGAUGCAUGAUAUUUGAGAAGAACUUGCCCAAAAAUUUAUGGGUUGAGGCAGUAAAUACUGCUGUUUAUGUUUAAAACAGACUUCCAACCAAAGCUUUAGAGCAAAGGACUCCAUUUGAGGCUUGGUUUGGAUUCAAGCCAUCACUGGCUCACUUAAGAAUCUUUGGUUGCUUAUGCUAUUCACAAGUUCCAGCUGUUAAAAGAAGUAAGUUUGACAAAAGAGCACAAGCAGGCAUCCUGGUAGGCUAUAGCUCAGAGAAAAAGGGCUAUAGGAUCUUAGAUCCUUCAACAAACAAAGUAUUUGCAAGUAGAGAUGUUGUGUUCAAUGAGAGAGCAAGCUGGAAUUGGGACAAGAAUGAACCUGAAGCUGUCUCUGAAGAACUUGUGGUUGAUCAAACAGUCAGAAGAAAAUAGUCCUGAUAUGGACUUUGAUGAUGUGCCAAUCAGAGGUACCAGAUCCUUGGCUGAAAUUUAUGAAAGGGCACAUUUAGCCUUAGUAGAGCCAACCUAUUUUGAAUAGGCUGUGAAGCAUGAAGGCUGGAAACAGGCAAUGGCAGAUGAAAUUGCCAUGAUCGAGAAGAACCAGACUUGGAAGCUGGUUGAGAAGUCUGCUAACAGGAAGAUUAUUGGAGUAAAAUAGGUCUACAAGGCCAAGCAGAAUGCUGAUGGAAGUCUGAAUAAACUGAAGGCUAGACUUGUGGUAAAAGGAUUCAGUCAAAAAUAUGGACUGGAUUACUUUGAAACAUAUACUCCUGUUGCCAGAUUGGAUACGAUUAGGCUGAUUGUUGGAUUGGCUGCUCAUAUGCAGUGGAAUGUCUAUCAACUAGAUGUAAAAUCGGCCUUUCUAAAUGGAAUCCUUGAAGAGGAAAUUUAUGUCGAGCAACCAGAGGGAUUUGAAGUACCUGGCAAGGAAGACUUGGUUUACAAACUAAGAAAGGCCUUAUAUGGCCUAAAACAAGCACCCAGAGCAUGGUAUGCUAGAAUUGACUCUUAUCUGCUUAGUUUGAAGUUUGAGAGAAGUGCUAGUGAGCCAACGUUGUAUGUCAAGAAGAAUAAAACUGAAACUCAUCUUGUGGUGUCAUUGUAUGUUGAUGACCUAUUGGUGACAGGAGGAGAUGAAGUUGAUUUGGCAGAAUUUAAGAUAAAGAUGAUGCAAAUGUUCGAAAUAACUGACCUGGGGCUGAUGACAUACUUCCUAGGAAUGGAAGUAAGCCAGACACAAGAAGGCAUCUUCUUGAAACAGGAAUCAUUUGCCUUGAAGGUGUUGACAAAGUUUUCAAUGCUGAACUGCAAGCCAACUCCUACACCUGUUGUAACUGGGUUGAAACUAUCAAGCCAUGAGGGUCAUGAAGAAGUCUGUGAAACUACCUACAGAAGCUUAAUUGGUUGUCUUCUAUACUUGACUGCAACGAGACCAGACAUCAUGUUUGUUGUAAGUCUACUUUCUAGAUUCAUGCACUGCUGCAAUGUACAACAUUUUCAAGCUGCAAAACGAGUACUGAGAUACAUUAAAGGUACUCUAAAUCAUGGUCUCUUGUUUAGCAAGGCUGCAGAACUUAGAUUGAAAGGCUACACAAAUAGUGACUGGGCUGGUUUUAAAGACGAUAUGAAGAGCACAUCAGGGUAUGCUUUCACAUUGGGGUCAGGAAUGGUAUGUUGGAGUUCCAAAAAAUAGUCUCUGGUGGCUCAAUCGACUGCUGAGGCCGAAUAUGUAGCUGCUGCUAGUGCAGUAAACCAAGCUAUUUGGCUGAGGAAAAUUUUAGCUUAUUUGAACUUAUCUCAAGUAGAAGCAACAGAGAUACUUUGUGACAAUAAAUCUGCUGUUGCAAUUGCAAAGAACCCUGUCUUCCAUGGUAGAACUAAGCACUUUGACAUAAAGCUGCAUGUGAUAAGGGAGAUGGAGCAAGCUUGUGAAAUAAAGCUGGUUCAUUGCAAUUCGGAGGAUCAAAUUGCUGAUAUCUUGACCAAGGGUCUUGGUGUGUCGAGAUUUAACAAGUUAAGAAAGCUCAUGGGAGUUUGCAGCAUGGAGCUCAAGGAGGAGUGUUGAAGCUGAUCUCCAUGCAGUUGGUAUGAAGCAAGUGCAGCUGGAAGCUGGCCAUGCAAGCUCGUGACAAGCAUGCAGCAACCUUGGUUUUGUGUUGCUGUUAGAUUUGAACUAAUAUUUUGUUCAUUUUGAAGUCUAGUUUGCUAUAAGCUUUUUGAUUGAUGUAAUUUGAUGUUGAUGGAGCUGUUAACCAGCUUUGUGUUAAUGUACAAGUUAAAUUUUUUGUUAUUUGGAAAGCUUAGUGGAAGUAGGUGUAUGUUUAGGUAGAAAUUUGACUUGUAAGUUUUU